AUAUCAAUAAGCGGAGGAAAAGAAACUAACAAGGAUUCCCCUAGUAACUGCGAGUGAAGCGGGAAAAGCUCAAAUUUAAAAUCUGACAGUCUUCUGGCUGUUCGAGUUGUAAUCUGGAGAGGCGUCUUCCGCGUUGGACCGUGUACAAGUCUCCUGGAAUGGAGCAUCGUAGAGGGUGAGAAUCCCGUCUUUGACACGGACUUCCAAUGCUUCUGUGAUACGCCCUCGAAGAGUCGAGUUGUUUGGGAAUGCAGCUCAAAAUGGGUGGUAAAUUCCAUCUAAAGCUAAAUAUUGGCGAGAGACCGAUAGCGAACAAGUACCGUGAGGGAAAGAUGAAAAGCACUUUGAAAAGAGAGUUAAACAGUAC
Molecule: ribosomal RNA, 367 nt
Filed under: uncultured fungus
Lineage: Eukaryota; Fungi
Description: eukaryotic LSU rRNA
Rfam family: Eukaryotic large subunit ribosomal RNA
Source: RNAcentral